RNAcentral lists this ribosomal RNA (470 nucleotides) under uncultured bacterium. RNAcentral's name for it is "bacterial SSU rRNA". It matches the Rfam family "Bacterial small subunit ribosomal RNA", at positions 335 to 798 of the family's 1533-position model. The record is from RNAcentral.
ACUCCUACGGGAGGCAGCAGUAGGGAAUCUUCCGCAAUGGGCGAAAGCCUGACGGAGCAACGCCGCGUGAGUGAAGAAGGAUUUCGGUUCGUAAAGCUCUGUUGUUAGGGAAGAAUGAUUGUGUAGUAACUAUACACAGUAGAGACGGUACCUAACCAGAAAGCCACGGCUAACUACGUGCCAGCAGCCGCGGUAAUACGUAGGUGGCAAGCGUUGUCCGGAAUUAUUGGGCGUAAAGCGCGCGCAGGUGGUUUAAUAAGUCUGAUGUGAAAGCCCACGGCUCAACCGUGGAGGGUCAUUGGAAACUGUUAAACUUGAGUGCAGGAGAGAAAAGUGGAAUUCCUAGUGUAGCGGUGAAAUGCGUAGAGAUUAGGAGGAACACCAGUGGCGAAGGCGGCUUUUGGCCUGUAACUGACACUGAGGCGCGAAAGCGUGGGGAGCAAACAGGAUUAGAUACCCUGGUAGGCUCU